AAGAAAUGCACAUAUACUGUCUUGUUUUUNCUUAACAGAGGCAAGUCAACUGCACCAAAGAAUCACUGAGUGUGUGUAUCAUGCGCCAAUGAAUUCAUUCAGCUCUUCCAGGUAUGGCAGGAAGUCUGUGAGUUUGUGCGAAAACAAAUCUGAACUCUCAAAUCUGGAGACACCUAACAACCGGGACCGAAACAUCAGCCCUAAUGCCCGACAAAAAAGAGGCUGGCCCAGCAGGCAGAUACCAUCACUAGAUACAUUUGAAGACUUUGAAGCCAUCCCAUCCAGUGCUGAAGAACUCUCCAACUCUUCGGAUAUGGAAGAAGAGAGUCAACUGAACAAUGGAUCCAAUGUUUACCGGGUAGAAGGCAAUUUUGAUGCCUGUUUCCCAGAUUCCCUAACUAUAGACGAUGGAGACUUAGUGCAGUUUAUACAGGAAGGUGAAGACAGACAAUGA
This 454-nucleotide long non-coding RNA is filed under the name Salvator merianae (Argentine black and white tegu). RNAcentral describes it as "lncRNA (ENSSMRG00000023594.1)". The record is from RNAcentral. Lineage: Eukaryota; Metazoa; Chordata; Lepidosauria; Squamata; Teiidae.